ACUCCACCCAACCAGCUGAUUUCAAGACACGCCAGCUGCUGAGUACCCUUCCUUCCCUCAUGUGUGACGUCAGGUGUGGAGGUUGUCGUCCCGAGCGAGGCCUUGACAAGGCCUCACCACACUUCCCCGACCCGUGUCCCAGUCAAGCCAGAAGCCCCAGCAGCCUCUCCAACGUGAUCACAGCCUCUGUAUAUCAUUCAAGUGGAAGCAAAUGAGACUUAAACACUUUCACCUCAGCGCCAACUAAAAUUCACCGCUCCCAACG
Scylla paramamosain (green mud crab) is the source of this 265-nucleotide long non-coding RNA. RefSeq lists it as uncharacterized. NCBI's taxonomy places the organism in Eukaryota, Metazoa, Arthropoda, Malacostraca, Decapoda, Portunidae. The transcript is spliced from 3 exons. The record is from RefSeq and is a predicted model, not a curated record.